This 458-nucleotide ribosomal RNA is filed under the name uncultured bacterium. RNAcentral's name for it is "bacterial SSU rRNA". It matches the Rfam family "Bacterial small subunit ribosomal RNA", at positions 8 to 465 of the family's 1533-position model. The record is from RNAcentral.
AGAGUUUGAUCCUGGCUCAGAUUGAACGCUGGCGGCAGGCCUAACACAUGCAAGUCGAGCGGCAGCACGGGUACUUGUACCUGGUGGCGAGCGGCGGACGGGUAAGUAAUGCCUAGGAAUCUGCCUGGUAGUGGGGGAUAACGCUCGGAAACGGACGCUAAUACCGCAUACGUCCUACGGGAGAAAGCAGGGGACCUUCGGGCCUUGCGCUAUCAGAUGAGCCUAGGUCGGAUUAGCUAGUUGGUGAGGUAAUGGCUCACCAAGGCGACGAUCCGUAACUGGUCUGAGAGGAUGAUCAGUCACACUGGAACUGAGACACGGUCCAGACUCCUACGGGAGGCAGCAGUGGGGAAUAUUGGACAAUGGGCGAAAGCCUGAUCCAGCCAUGCCGCGUGUGUGAAGAAGGUCUUCGGAUUGUAAAGCACUUUAAGUUGGGAGGAAGGGCAGUUACCUAAUAC